This 215-nucleotide unclassified non-coding RNA is filed under the name Glomeraceae sp. Its description in RNAcentral is "partial contains 5.8S ribosomal RNA and internal transcribed spacer 2". The stretch from base 1 to 71 matches the Rfam family "5.8S ribosomal RNA", at positions 84 to 154 of the family's 154-position model. Lineage: Eukaryota; Fungi; Glomeromycota; Glomeromycetes; Glomerales; Glomeraceae. The record is from RNAcentral.
GUGAAUCAUCAAAUCUUUGAACGCAAAUUGCACUCUCUGGUAUUCCGGAGAGUAUGCCUGUUUGAGGGUCAGUUUAAAUAACAAUCGGUGUGGUUGCUGCCUUUCGCGGUGACGCACCGGGUGUGGGUCGUCUUCCCUUCGGUUAAGUGACCUAAAAUUUUGCAUGCUUCAUUCGAAUGGAUUUAUGGGAUUUUAAGUACGUUUGUGAUUUCGAA